UUUGGAUCAUCUCCAUCCAGCUUCUCUCCAUCCCCUCUCCAUCCAAAAUCUGAGCCGUUGAUUAGGAAUUUUAAAUGUGAGGAUUAAUUCAUGUUUUCUCUCUCUUCUUAAAUUGAUCCAAGCCUUUAAAUACAAUUCAUUUUUUUCUCUUUCUUCUCAAAUUGAUCCCCACCUUUAAAAUUUAAAAUUAAUGACUCAAAUUUUGGAUGGAGAGGGGAUGGAGAGAAGCUGGAUGGAGAGGAUCCAAA
This 248-nucleotide microRNA precursor is filed under the name Lotus japonicus. RNAcentral's name for it is "MIR7533 microRNA precursor family". It matches the Rfam family "MIR7533 microRNA precursor family". Lineage: Eukaryota; Viridiplantae; Streptophyta; Magnoliopsida; Fabales; Fabaceae. The record is from Rfam by way of RNAcentral.